UACGAAGGGGGCUAGCGUUGUUCGGAUUUACUGGGCGUAAAGCGCACGCAGGCGGCUAGACAAGUCAGAGGUGAAAUCCCAGGGCUCAACCCUGGAACUGCCUUUGAAACUGUCUGGCUAGAGUUCGGGAGAGGGUAGUGGAAUUCCUAGUGUAGCAGUGAAAUGCGUAGAUAUUAGGAGGAACACCGGUGGCGAAGGCGGCUACCUGGCCCGAUACUGACGCUCAUGUGCGAAAGCGUGGGGAGCAAACAGG
This 253-nucleotide ribosomal RNA is filed under the name uncultured bacterium. Its description in RNAcentral is "partial 16S ribosomal RNA". It matches the Rfam family "Bacterial small subunit ribosomal RNA", at positions 524 to 776 of the family's 1533-position model. The record is from RNAcentral.